This 74-nucleotide transfer RNA is filed under the name Frieseomelitta varia. Its description in RNAcentral is "tRNA-Ala". The record is from RNAcentral. Lineage: Eukaryota; Metazoa; Arthropoda; Insecta; Hymenoptera; Apidae.
GACCUGGAUAGCUUAAUUGGUUAAAGCCACUAGCCGGGCAAGCGAAAGAUCCGGCUUCGAGUCCCGGUCCGGCG